This 391-nucleotide unclassified non-coding RNA is filed under the name soil metagenome. RNAcentral describes it as "partial contains 5.8S ribosomal RNA, internal transcribed spacer 2, and large subunit ribosomal RNA". The stretch from base 1 to 122 matches the Rfam family "5.8S ribosomal RNA", at positions 35 to 154 of the family's 154-position model. The record is from RNAcentral.
GAUGAAGAACGUAGCGAAAUGCGAUACUUGGUGUGAAUUGCAGAAUCCCGUGAACCAUCGAGUCUUUGAACGCAAGUUGCGCCCGAAGCCACUAGGCCGAGGGCACGCCUGCCUGGGCGUCACACGCCUUUGCCCCCCCAUCUACUCCUUCGGGAUUGCGGGGGGGCGGAUGAUGGCCUCCUGUGCGCCUAGCCGCGCGGUUGGCAUAAAUACCAAGUCCUCGGCGACGCACGCCACGACAAUCGGUGGUUGCGAAACCUCGGUUGCCCGUCGUGUGCGUUCGUCGCGCAUCGAGGGCUCGAAAAAAUGCUCGGCUCCGGCUGGGCUUUCAACGCGACCCCAGGUCAGGCGGGGUUACCCGCUGAAUUUAAGCAUAUCAAUAAGCGGAGGA